Molecule: ribosomal RNA, 1346 nt
Filed under: uncultured bacterium
Lineage: Bacteria
Description: partial 16S ribosomal RNA
Rfam family: Bacterial small subunit ribosomal RNA
Source: RNAcentral
GACGAACGCUGGCUGCGUGCUUAACACAUGCAAGUCGAACGGAAAGGCCCUGCUUUUGUGGGGUGCUCGAGUGGCGAACGGGUGAGUAACACGUGAGUAACCUGCCCUUGACUUUGGGAUAACUUCAGGGGACUGGGGCUAAUACCGGAUAGGAGCUCCUGCUGCAUGGUGGGGGUUGGAAAGUUUCGGCGGUUGGGGAUGGACUCGCGGCUUAUCAGCUUGUUGGUGGGGUAGUGGCUUACCAAGGCUUUGACGGGUAGCCGGCCUGAGAGGGUGACCGGCCACAUUGGGACUGAGAUACGGCCCAGACUCCUACGGGAGGCAGCAGUGGGGAAUAUUGCACAAUGGGCGGAAGCCUGAUGCGGCAACGCCGCGUGCGGGAUGACGGCCUUCGGGUUGUAAACCGCUUUCGCCUGUGACGAAGCGUGAGUGACGGUAAUGGGUAAAGAAGCACCGGCUAACUACGUGCCAGCAGCCGCGGUGAUACCUAGGGUGCGAGCGUUGUCCGGAUUUAUUGGGCGUAAAGGGCUCGUAGGUGGUUGAUCGCGUCGGAAGUGUAAUCUUGGGGCUUAACCCUGAGCGUGCUUUCGAUACGGGUUGACUUGAGGAAGGUAGGGGAGAAUGGAAUUCCUGGUGGAGCGGUGGAAUGCGCAGAUAUCAGGAGGAACACCAGUGGCGAAGGCGGUUCUCUGGGCCUUUCCUGACGCUGAGGAGCGAAAGCGUGGGGAGCGAACAGGCUUAGAUACCCUGGUAGUCCACGCUGUAAACGGUGGGUACUAGGUGUGGGGUCCAUUCCACGGGUUCCGUGCCGUAGCUAACGCUUUAAGUACCCCGCCUGGGGAGUACGGCCGCAAGGCUAAAACUCAAAGGAAUUGACGGGGCCCCGCACAAGCGGCGGAGCAUGCGGAUUAAUUCGAUGCAACGCGUAGAACCUUACCUGGGUUUGACAUGGAUCGGGAGUGCUCAGAGAUGGGUGUGCCUCUUUUGGGGUCGGUUCACAGGUGGUGCAUGGCUGUCGUCAGCUCGUGUCGUGAGAUGUUGGGUUAAGUCCCGCAACGAGCGCAACCCUUGUUCACUGUUGCCAGCACGUUAUGGUGGGGACUCAGUGGAGACCGCCGGGGUCAACUCGGAGGAAGGUGGGGAUGACGUCAAGUCAUCAUGCCCCUUAUGUCCAGGGCUUCACGCAUGCUACAAUGGCUGGUACAGAGAGUGGCGAGCCUGUGAGGGUGAGCGAAUCUCGGAAAGCCGGUCUCAGUUCGGAUUGGGGUCUGCAACUCGACCUCAUGAAGUCGGAGUCGCUAGUAAUCGCAGAUCAGCAACGCUGCGGUGAAUACGUUCCCGGGGCU